AACUGUUGAGGGACAGAGACUUAAGGUGACAGAAGGGGAGGGUGGCCUAACAGUGGAGGUGCAGUUGGAAUUGGAAAGCCAAGGAGGAAGUAGAGUUGGUGGGGGAGGAGCAGGUGGAUCAGGAUGAAGAAAGUUUCCGUUUGAAGUAGCCAUCAGAAAUGCUGGGGCAGGACGCUCUUUCACUAACUUCUCUGCAAAAGUCUCUAGAAUCCGAUCGUACUUGCCCUCCUCAAUGGGGUCCACAACCUUGUUGUUCUC
This 258-nucleotide long non-coding RNA is filed under the name Vitis vinifera (wine grape). RNAcentral's name for it is "long non-coding RNA (VVIN_LNC002559)". Lineage: Eukaryota; Viridiplantae; Streptophyta; Magnoliopsida; Vitales; Vitaceae. The record is from RNAcentral.